This 1274-nucleotide ribosomal RNA is filed under the name fermentation metagenome. RNAcentral describes it as "bacterial LSU rRNA". It matches the Rfam family "Bacterial large subunit ribosomal RNA", at positions 1671 to 2925 of the family's 2925-position model. The record is from RNAcentral.
GGAGAGAAUCCUAAGGCGCGCGAGAGAACCCUCGUUAAGGAACUCGGCAAAAUUACCCCGUAACUUCGGGAUAAGGGGUGCCCCGUUAUCGUGAGCAGAUUUACUCUGCAAAGCGAGAGGGGGCCGCAGUGAAUAGGCCCAAGCGACUGUUUAGCAAAAACACAGGUCUCUGCUAAGCCGCAAGGCGAAGUAUAGGGGCUGACGCCUGCCCAGUGCUGGAAGGUUAAGGGGAUGGGUUAGCCGUAAGGCGAAGCUCUGAACCGAAGCCCCAGUGAACGGCGGCCGUAACUAUAACGGUCCUAAGGUAGCGAAAUUCCUUGUCGGGUAAGUUCCGACCCGCACGAAAGGCGUAACGAUUUGGGCGCUGUCUCAACGAGGGACUCGGUGAAUUUGUAGUACCUGUGAAGAUGCAGGUUACCCGCGACAAGACGGAAAGACCCCGUGGAGCUUUACUGCAGCCUGAUAUUGAUCUUUGGUGUUAGAUGUACAGGAUAGGUGGGAGACUGAGAAUUCAGGGCGCCAGUCUUGUUGGAGUCGCCGGUGGGAUACCACCCUUCUAAUAUCGGAGCUCUAACCGUGGUCCGUGAUCCGGAUCCGGGACAUUGUCAGGCAGGCAGUUUGACUGGGGCGGUCGCCUCCUAAAGAGUAACGGAGGCGCCCAAAGGUCUCCUCAGAAUGGUUGGAAAUCAUUCGCAGAGUGUAAAGGCACAAGGAGGCUUGACUGCGAGACAUACAGGUCGAGCAGGCACGAAAGUGGGGCUUAGUGACCCGGCGGUUCUGAGUGGAAGGGCCGUCGCUCAACGGAUAAAAGCUACCCCGGGGAUAACAGGCUUAUCUCCCCCAAGAGUCCACAUCGACGGGGAGGUUUGGCACCUCGAUGUCGGCUCAUCGCAUCCUGGGGCUGUAGUAGGUCCCAAGGGUUGGGCUGUUCGCCCAUUAAAGCGGUACGCGAGCUGGGUUCAGAACGUCGCGAGACAGUUCGGUCCCUAUCUGUCGUGGGCGUAGGAGAUUUGAGGAGUGCUGCUCCUAGUACGAGAGGACCGGAGUGGACAGACCGCUGGUGUACCAGUUGUCCUGCCAAGGGCAGCUCUGGGUAGCCACGUCUGGCAUGGAUAAGCGCUGAAGGCAUCUAAGCGCGAAGCCAUCUCCAAGAUAAGAUCUCCCAUCCCAUAAGGGAGUAAGACCCCAGGUAGACCACCUGGUUGAUAGGCCGGAAGUGUAAUGGCAGCAAUGCCUUAAGCGGACCGGUACUAAUAGGUCGAGGACUUGACCUA